RNAcentral lists this ribosomal RNA (372 nucleotides) under uncultured bacterium. Its description in RNAcentral is "bacterial SSU rRNA". It matches the Rfam family "Bacterial small subunit ribosomal RNA", at positions 527 to 896 of the family's 1533-position model. The record is from RNAcentral.
GUAGGGGCCGAGCGUUAUCCGGAUUUACUGGGCGUAAAGCGCAUGUAGGCGGCUUGUUAAGUCGGACGUGAAAGCUCCUGGCUCAACUAGGAGAGGCCGUUCGAAACUAACAAACUUGAGGGUGGUAGAGGAGAGUGGAAUUCCCGGUGUAGUGGUGAAAUGCGUAGAUAUCGGGAGGAACACCAGUGGCGAAAGCGGCUCUCUGGGCCAUUCCUGACGCUGAGAUGCGAAAGCCAGGGGAGAGAACGGGAUUAGAAACCCCGGUAUUCCUGGCCGUAAACGAUGUCAACUAGGUGUAGCAGGUUAUUGACCCCUGCUGUGCUGCAGCUAACGCGUUAAGUUGACCGCCUGGGGACUACGGNCGCAAGGCUA